ACUGUGACCUCAGCUCUGAUAUCUAACAACUCCAAUCUGAGAGAGCUGCAGCUGAGUUCAAUCAAGCUGCAGGAUCCAGCAGAGGCACUGUUUGCUAGUCUGGGACAUCCAAACUGUAGACUGGAGACACUCAGCUUUGAGAACAGCACUUUGUCAGAGAACAACUGUGCUGCUCUGCUCAGUGCUCUGAAGUCCAACCCUCCAUAUCUGAAACGUCUGGAUCUAAUAGGAUGCAACCUGGAGGGCUCAGGGAUGAAACAGCUGUAUGAUUACCUGGAGAGUCCACACUGUAAACUACAGUUUAAAAGAGUGACUUCAGUUUAGAUGCUGCACUGUGGUGAGUAUUAUUCAGAUAUCUUAGUGGGAUUAAUUUCUGUAUUUCAAUGUCAAUUCCAAGAUUAUUAAAGAGAAGAAGAUAAAUCAUCGUAGUUAUACAUAAUAUCCCAAGAUCUAAACUAUAAUUAACCUAUUACAUUGAUAUGCAUGUCUGUGGAUGUUUCUAUAUUAAAAUCUUUUGAAGACCGACUUGCUUUGACUGAUCUAUGCAGAAUCUCAGUAUUUGAUCAAGACAUGCAGUGAUUCCUCCAGAGUGACCCUGAAAGAAAUCAGUGGUCAAAGUGUGGCUCUACUCAGACAGUGUGGCCUUAACUCCAAUGUCAAGCUUCAGUUCAUGGAUAAGGUCUUUGGAAACUGCUGAACUUCUCUUCAGUGGAUGGAGUACAGGACUGAGGUAAAACACCUCAGAGUGUGCUGAGGGAAUUUCCACUUUAGCACUACUGUAUGCCUUUACUUUACUUGAUGGAUGACUCGUAUAACUCUAGUUAGUGUGUCGUUAAUAGACUGUUGACUUUCCUACACUCUAAAACAUUCAGCUCACCCAGCUAAAGGACAUUUUGUCUUCAGUUUUGAUUUGUUUCCGAGGAGAAUCUUGUGAUACAGGUUUCAUUGCAGUCGUUUCACACCCAAGGACCAACUGAGUUUCAUACCCAGUUGAAGGAUACUUUUCAGGUGCAAUAGCUGCCAUCUAGCUAGUCUUCGAACUAAAAAGUGUCAUGGUCCUGGGUCGGUGACCCAGCGCUUUGAGUUUAUUAUUAUCAUUUUCUAGUUUAUUCUGAUUUUGUAUCAGUUCUUUGAGUUUGGUCGUCGUGUCAUCAUGCCUACCUGUGUUUUCCCUCCGUACUCCGUUCGGGUCCUCGCGUUGGUGUGGUAAAAUAGUCUGUGUGUUUCCUGUUAUGCUUUGUAGGUCUGUGUCUCAUUAUGUCCAUGAGUCCCAGCUGUGUGCCCACCUGUUCCUCGUUUCCUCAUGUGCUUGCCAGUGUAUUUUAGUCCCUGUCAGUUAGUGCUUGUUGUCGCGUCGUCAACGUCGGUUCCCCUUGCAUGCUGUGUGUUUCCUUAUAAGUUCUUUUCCUUAGAUUUUCCAGUUUAGUUUGAUGCUGUUCUGUAUUCCUGCCAAGCCUGCAUUAAAGCAGAGUUUUUGAGUUCACGUUUUCUCCUCGGAGUCCUGCAUUUUGGGUCCAAUUCCUGCCUGCCACACCGCACACCAUGACAAAAAGCAGAUUUUCCAUAUGCAGGUCCUUGUUUAUGAUUUUACAAUGAGACAUUUUAAUAAUUUCACUGCUGUAAUUUCACUGUUGAACAUCGUCUUGCUUGGGGUGAUGCAUUACUGAUACAGCAGUGUUUUUUUUCAGUGUUAUGUGUGUUAUGUGUAAUGUUACACUUCAGAGAAGGGUUUGUCACCACAUACUGGAUUAAAUGGGAUUCCAGUUUUGUAAUUUUGCAGAACAUGGAAAAUACAUAUAUUUCCAGUCCAUCUGGAAGGUAUUCAGAACACUUAACUGGUUUGCCAUUAUGUCUGUCUAACUGUCUUACAGUCUUAUUCAAAGAUGAAUUAAAUUCAUUUUCAUCUCUACACACAAUGCACUAUAGUGACAAAGUGAAAAAAAAAUGUUUGUAAUUGUUUCAAAUGUAAAUUUUUUUUAAAUAUGUAUAUAUAAUAAAAUG
Molecule: long non-coding RNA, 2001 nt
Organism: Oreochromis niloticus (Nile tilapia)
Lineage: Eukaryota; Metazoa; Chordata; Actinopteri; Cichliformes; Cichlidae
Exons: 4
Source: RefSeq, a predicted model, not a curated record